CCUGGUGACAAGGCUGGAGCUGAUGGGACAUUAUUCUGUUCCUGUGUGGAGGUAUUGGCAAGUUGGCCAGUGUGCCUGCUGGUGGGGCUGUGGCCGUGUCUGCCGCCCCAGGGUCUGCAGCUCCUGCUGCUGGUGCUGCCCCAGCCGCAGCGGAGGAAAAGAAAGACGAGAAGAAAGAGGAGUCCGAGGAGUCAGACGACGACAUGGGAUUCGGCUUAUUUGAUUAGGGUCCUGCCCACCCCCACCCACUGGCAAAUAAAACCCUUUUUGUGUAUCUGUGGAGUGGUGUG
RNAcentral lists this long non-coding RNA (290 nucleotides) under Vulpes vulpes (red fox). RNAcentral describes it as "lncRNA (ENSVVUG00000000101.1)". Lineage: Eukaryota; Metazoa; Chordata; Mammalia; Carnivora; Canidae. The record is from RNAcentral.